Molecule: non-coding RNA, 72 nt
Organism: Claviceps citrina
Lineage: Eukaryota; Fungi; Ascomycota; Sordariomycetes; Hypocreales; Clavicipitaceae
Source: the annotation of a GenBank genome assembly
AGGAGAUUAACUCAAUGGUAGAGUGACUGUUUUACACGCAGCAAGUUAAGAGUUCAAGUCUCUUAUCUCCUA